ACUCCUACGGGAGGCAGCAGUGGGGAAUUUUGCGCAAUGGGGGAAACCCUGACGCAGCAACGCCGCGUGAGUGAUGAAGGCCUUUGGGUCGUAAAGCUCUGUCAGAGGGGAAGAAAUGAUAUAGUGCUAAUACCACUUUAUCUUGACGGUACCCUCAAAGGAAGCACCGGCUAACUCCGUGCCAGCAGCCGCGGUAAUACGGAGGGUGCGAGCGUUGUUCGGAUUUAUUGGGCGUAGAGCACGUGUAGGCGGUUUUUUAAGUCUGAUGUGAAAGCCCCGGGCUCAACCUGGGAAGUGCAUUGGAUACUGGGAGACUUGAAUACGGGAGAGGGUAGUGGAAUUCCUAGUGUAGGAGUGAAAUCCGUAGAUAUUAGGAGGAACACCGGUGGCGAAGGCGGCUACCUGGACCGAUAUUGACGCUGAGACGCGAAAGCGUGGGGAGCAAACAGGAUUAGAUACCCUGGUAGUCCACGCCGUAAACGAUGAGUACUAGGUGUUGCGGGUAUUGACCCCUGCAGUGCCGCAGCUAACGCAUUAAGUACUCCGCCUGGGAAGUACGGUCGCAAGACUAAAACUCAAAUGAAUUGACGG
Molecule: ribosomal RNA, 591 nt
Filed under: uncultured Geobacter sp.
Lineage: Bacteria; Pseudomonadati; Thermodesulfobacteriota; Desulfuromonadia; Geobacterales; Geobacteraceae
Description: bacterial SSU rRNA
Rfam family: Bacterial small subunit ribosomal RNA
Source: RNAcentral